RNAcentral lists this ribosomal RNA (510 nucleotides) under uncultured bacterium. Its description in RNAcentral is "partial 16S ribosomal RNA". It matches the Rfam family "Bacterial small subunit ribosomal RNA", at positions 28 to 507 of the family's 1533-position model. The record is from RNAcentral.
GACGAACGCUGGCGGCGUGCUUAACACAUGCAAGUCGAACGAAGAGCGAUGGAUGCUUGCUUCUAUCAAUCUUAGUGGCGCACGGGUGAGUAACGCGUAAUCAACCUGCCCUUCAGAGGGGGACAACAGUUGGAAACGACUGCUAAUACCGCAUACGAUCUGACCUCGGCAUCGAGGAUAGAUGAAAGGUGGCCUCUACAUGUAAGCUAUCACUGAAGGCGGGGAUUGCGUCUGAUUAGCUAGUUGGGGGGGUAACGGCCCACCAAUGCGAUGAUCAGUAGCCGGUCUGAGGGGAUGAAAGGCCACAUUGGGACGGAGACACGGCCCAGACUCCUACGGGAGGCAGCAGGGAGGAAGCUUCCGCAAUGGACGAAAGGCUGACGGAGCAACGCCGCGUGAGGGAUGACGGCCUUCGGGUUGUAAAGCUCUGUUAAUCGGGACGAAAGGCCUUUUUGCGAAUAGUGAGAAGGAUUGACGGUACCGGAAUAGAAAGCCACGGCUAACUACGUG